Molecule: ribosomal RNA, 332 nt
Filed under: uncultured bacterium
Lineage: Bacteria
Description: bacterial SSU rRNA
Rfam family: Bacterial small subunit ribosomal RNA
Source: RNAcentral
CGCGUAGGCGGCCUGACAAGUCAGAUGUGAAAGCCCCGGGCUCAACCCGGGAAUUGCAUCUGAAACUGUUGGGCUUGAGUUCUGGAGGGGAUGGUGGAAUUCCCAGUGUAGCGGUGAAAUGCGUAGAUAUUGGGAGGAACACCUGCGGCGAAGGCGGCCAUCUGGACAGUGACUGACGCUGAGGCGCGAAAGCUAGGGGAGCGAACGGGAUUAGAUACCCCGGUAGUCCUAGCUGUAAACGAUGGGCACUUGGUGUUGGGGGUAUUGAGUCCCUCGGUGCCGGAGUUAACACGAUAAGUGCCCCGCCUGGGGAGUACGGUCGCAAGACUGAA